GACGCUAAGGCGUUGAAGCAGUGUACGUCAGACUUCCAAGAAAAGCUCGCAAUGUCAUAAAUAAAGAAUGCCUGUACCAUAACCGACACAGGUGGGUAGGUAGAGUAUACUAAGGGGCGCGAGAUAACUCUCUCUAAGGAACUCGGCAAAAUGACUCCGUAACUUCGGGAGAAGGAGUGCCUUAUUUAUAAGGUUGCAAUAACAAGAUCCAAGCAACUGUUUAUCAAAAACACAGGUCUCCGCUAAGUCGUAAGACGAUGUAUGGGGGCUGACGCCUGCCCAGUGCCAGAAGGUUAAAGAAGUUGGUUAGUGUAUGCGAAGCUGAUGACUGAAGCCCUGGUGAACGGCGGCCGUAACGAUAACGGUCCUAAGGUAGCGAAAUUCCUUGUCGGGUAAGUUCCGACCCGCACGAAAGGCGUAAUGAUUUGGAUACUGUCUCGGAGAGAGGCUCGGUGAAAUAGACUUGUCUGUGAAGAUGCGGACUACCUGCACCAGGACAGAAAGACCCUAUGAAGCUUUACUGUAACUUGAAAUUGGAAUUGGACUUUGCUUGCGCAGUAUAGGUGGGAAGCGUUGAAGAUAUUCUUGCGGGAGUAUUGGAGCUAUCAGUGAGAUACCACUCUUGUAAUGUUAGAUUUCUAACUUUGAACCAUAAUCUGGUCAAAGAACAGUUUCAGGUGGGCAGUUUGACUGGGGCGGUCGCCUCCCAAAUGGUAACGGAGGCGUACAAAGGUUUCCUCUGAACGGAUAGAAAUCGUAUCUAGAGUGUAAAGGCAUAAGGAAGCUUGACUGUGAGACCUACAAGUCGAGCAGGGACGAAAGUCGGUCUUAGUGAUCUGACGGUACUGAGUGGAAAGGCCGUCACUCAACGGAUAAAAGUUACUCUAGGAUAACAGGCUGAUCUCCCCCAAGAGUUCACAUCGACGGGGAGGUUUGGCACCUCGAUGUCGGCUCAUCGCAUCCUGGGGCGGUAGUACGUCCCAAGGGUUGGGCUGUUCGCCCAUGAAAGCGGUACGCGAGCUGGGUUCAGAACGUCGUGAGACAGUUCGGUCCAUAUCCGGUGUAGGCGUUAGAAUAUUGAGAGGAGCCUUCUUUAGUACGAGAGGACCGAGAAGGACACACCGCUGGUGUACCAGUUAUCGUGCCAACGGUAAACGCUGGGUAGCUAUGUGUGGAGUGGAUAACCGCUGAAAGCAUCUAAGUGGGAAGCCCACCUCAAGAUGAG
RNAcentral lists this ribosomal RNA (1225 nucleotides) under metagenome. Its description in RNAcentral is "bacterial LSU rRNA". It matches the Rfam family "Bacterial large subunit ribosomal RNA", at positions 1573 to 2808 of the family's 2925-position model. The record is from RNAcentral.